GGGAAAGCCGACAGUGACAGGUGUUACCCAGCUCCCACGCAGCUGGAAAGGCUGGUCUCACUGUCAGCAUGCUCCCCCAACAGCAUCAAGUUUAUUUCCAGGCAGCAGGCGAGCAGGGCUGAGAACUUGUCCCAGGCUACAAGCCUCCCUGCUGACAACAGAAGCAGGGCUUUCAGGUUUUAUGCCUCUCUGCCUGCCACAGCUUCUGUGCUUGUAUCUGCACUCCCUGUUUGACCCCCUCCCCAGAUUCUGUCCAGGAAACUUCAUGUUCGGUAGAAAUUGUUAUAAAAUUCAACUGGAAGUUUUCCUCUCCCUCUGGUUUUUCCUCAAUUCCACUGGCAGCCCUCCCCAAGUUGCAAGAUAAAGACAGAAAAGGCUUCCCUGAGGACUGAGAGUGCCCACAGGGCUCUUGCUGCUGCUUUCUCUACCCCUAUAUUUUGUGCGGCUCUCAGCAUUUGUCUCAGCUCCAGGGAGAAGAGAAGGAAAAGCAGAUGAGUGAACAAGGGCAGAUGGUGCUGGAGAAUUCCAUCAAGUGGGCAUCAAGAAGGGACUGGAGGUUAAAACCUUUGGGAUAAAGAAGAAGAAAAAAAGACAAGCUGGUAAAAAAUGGCACCUGGGCACUGUUUGCUGGGCACAAACAUGGCACUGUUUCCUAGGAGAUGAUUCCUCCAGUUCUUUAAGGUAGUAAUGAAUGACAACAAGAAGUUACUUCUCUAUGCUACACACGGUGUAGAAUCCAGAGCCUGACUGGCUGUGACGCGCCCAUGGUGACACCAAGGGGACUCUGCAUGGGCACAUCCCGGCCCUCCUCCCUGCAUGUUCUCCAAGCCAGGUCUUUGAAACCUCCAGUGAUGGGAAUGACAGAAUCUGGGAUGAUUUUCUUCUGUUUCUUAUCUAAAAAAACAACAAAAAGCUCAGCAUACACGGACUCACACAAACCUUUUGCUAGAGGCAGCUCUGUAGACUUAAGACGCUGUCAUUUUUCAGAAGAACCCAGCUUGCUUUGGAACUACAGUCAGCCCUGCAACCCACCCUCACCUUGGACCCUGCUGCUGCUGUCUGUAAAGGGUCUGGAUGAAGGAAGGGAGCCUCCAGCUUGUCGGCUGUACUUGCCCAGAAUUUAGCCUUUGCAACAUGGAGCUGCGGGGAUGGGAAAUGUUGUCCACUAGCCUUCCACAAUGCUGCGAUGAAUACACCUGUGCAUUCUUUUUUAGAACAAGUGUAAGAAUUCCUAUGUGGCUGGACGGUACUGCUGCCAUCUCGGCUCACUGCAACCUCC
Molecule: long non-coding RNA, 1279 nt
Filed under: Homo sapiens (human)
Lineage: Eukaryota; Metazoa; Chordata; Mammalia; Primates; Hominidae
Description: HSALNT0358341
Source: RNAcentral